This 292-nucleotide ribosomal RNA is filed under the name uncultured bacterium. Its description in RNAcentral is "partial 16S ribosomal RNA". It matches the Rfam family "Bacterial small subunit ribosomal RNA", at positions 505 to 796 of the family's 1533-position model. The record is from RNAcentral.
GUGCCAGCAGCCGCGGUAAUACAGAGGUCCCGAGCGUUGUUCGGAUUCACUGGGCGUAAAGGGUGCGUAGGCGGCAAGGUAAGUUCGAUGUGAAAGCCCCGGGCUUAACCCGGGAAUGGCAUUGAAUACUCUCUUGCUUGAGGGUCGGAGGGGAGACUGGAAUUCUCGGUGUAGCAGUGAAAUGCGUAGAUAUCGAGAGGAACACCGGUGGCGAAGGCGAGUCUCUGGACGACCCCUGACGCUGAGGCACGAAAGCUAGGGGAGCAAACAGGAUUAGAUACCCGGGUAGUCC